Molecule: long non-coding RNA, 829 nt
Filed under: Equus asinus (donkey)
Lineage: Eukaryota; Metazoa; Chordata; Mammalia; Perissodactyla; Equidae
Description: lncRNA (ENSEASG00005037519.1)
Source: RNAcentral
CAUCACCCCACCAGUCCGGAGAUAGUGGCGCGAGGGGGCGGGGCCUCGGCUCUGAUAGGCUCCCUCCUUGCUCGGAGCCCCGCCCAGCCCCCCGGUGGCGGAGAGUGCCCGCUUCCGUGUGGGCGGGUCGUGGAGGGGCGUGCUACCCAGGGACGGUUCUAGAUGCAGCCCCUAACCAUCUUGAACCAGGUUCGGCAAGGAAGCGGGAGGAGUGAAGACUGCAUUUCCUGAAGGAGGUGUACCGGAGCGGGGAACAUGGACGCGAACAGUGCUGGCUAGGUGACGCAUGCGCGCUGCGGCGCGACGGUGGCGGCGCCGACUCCAGCACGCCGGCUCCCAGGGCUGAGGGGCGGGGCGUUUCUCCCUCGAGUUCUUAAUGAAGAUGUGUGCUUCAAUGUGCCAAUUUCUUCAAGCACUUUUAACAAUGAAGUCUGGGCCUUUAUUUCAUAUACAGAUAUAACAGUGGACACCUGGACUCCUGGAAGCCCAGUUCUGUUCCAGCUCUUGAACUUGUCCCAGUGGGGACAUGAGAAGGAGAAGCCCCAGCCUCCCUACUUUGUGAAACUUAGAAUUAAACCUUGCAUCAGACCAGACAUUGGAUGUGUCUUCCCUGAGAUUUCUUGAGAAUCAUUUUAUCAUCCUAAGAGUCCAGGACGUGGGUCAGCUGAUAUCUUCAGCCUCAUAUAACCAAGAGAAAGAAGAGAGGAAGCACACUCAUAUGCUGACCCUGUUAUGCAUGGUUCUCCACUAGCAAAUGUAGUAUGAUCUGUGCCCUGGAAUAUGACUUAUAAUUAGAAUUUCUUCUCUUUGGAGAGGAGAUUGAAGUGGG